This is a long non-coding RNA of Suricata suricatta (meerkat), 595 nucleotides long. NCBI's taxonomy places the organism in Eukaryota, Metazoa, Chordata, Mammalia, Carnivora, Herpestidae. The record is from Ensembl.
CCCAGCCGCUGGCAGCCUGGCAAGGAGGAGGCGACCCGGUCGUACCCGGUCCGUGACAGAGGUCUGGCGGUUCGAUCCCGCAAGGUGCAUCUGUAGAGGAGAGGCUUGAAAAAAAGGAGGAGCAGGACAAUCAAUGGCCUGGAUUUCUGGAGGCCUGCUUUAAAGCUGCUCGCUUCUGCAAGGAAGGGAAGGAGGAAGAGACUGGCUCAGAUCUCUGGAGGACUGCCUGCUCUCUGCUGUAGAGCUUAAUAUCACUGAAACAAAGCAAGGAAGGGGAAAUUGCACCAUAUCCUUGCAGAUCCACCUCCAGUGGCAGCUCUGGUGGUGUUGGAAUUGCUGCCCACCACUACCCUCAACAGGUCUGCACCCACCUGGGAACAUCCAUCAUCCUGCAGCUUGGUUGUGCCUCGUCUGCACGUUGUCUGUAAUAUUGACUGAGGCUUUGGAAGCAGAUAGAUUGAUUUCUGUACUGGUGACUGACUCUGACUCUUGUUUCCAACAAAUCAUCUGAAUCACUGAAAGAUCAGAGUGUGAAGAUACAAAGCGAGAGAGAUCUGUGGUAGAAGCUGAGACUGGGGUAGAGUACUUAACUAGG